GACGAACGCUGGCGGCGUGCUUAACACAUGCAAGUCGAACGGAAAGGCCCUGCUUUUGUGGUGUUCUCGAGUGGCGAACGGGUGCGUAACACGUGAGUAACCUGCCCUUGACUUUGGGAUAACUUCAGGAAACUGGGGCUAAUCCCGGAUAGGAGCUCCUGCUGCAUGGUGGGGGUUGGAACGUUUCGGCGGUUGGGGAUGGACUCGCGGCUUAUCAGCUUGUUGGUGGGGUAGUGGCUUACCAAGGCUUUGACGGGUAGCCGGCCUGAGAGGGUGACCGGCCACAUUGGGACUGAGAGACGGCGCAGAGUGCUACGGGGGGCAGCAGUGGGGAAUAUUGCACAAUGGGCGGAAGCCUGAUGCAGAAACGCCGCGGGCGGGAUGACGGCCUUCGGGUUGUAAACCGCUUUCGCCUGUGACGAAGCGGGAGUGACGGUAAUGGGUAAAGAAGCACCGGCUAACUACGUG
RNAcentral lists this ribosomal RNA (468 nucleotides) under uncultured bacterium. Its description in RNAcentral is "partial 16S ribosomal RNA". It matches the Rfam family "Bacterial small subunit ribosomal RNA", at positions 28 to 507 of the family's 1533-position model. The record is from RNAcentral.